CCCAAAUUCCCCAUCAUUCUCAAAACCUAAACUUUUAGCAAAUCAUAGUAUCUCUCACUGUUUUCAAACUUCCCUACCACUUCGACUCAGAGAUUAGAUCUCCACCAUGAUGAUGAACACAAUCAUCAUGACAUUGGGUAUUUGGUAUGAAUCAGGUCACCAUUUGCGGGGAAAGGUGGGAAGAUAUACUAUUGCCAUGAUGGAUUGACACAGAUUCAUUUACUCGCGGUGGUUCCUUAUCCGUCGAGCAUCGCCACUUGUUACCAUCGGUAUUGAUUGCCUUGUCGAUAUAGGGUAAAACUUGAAAAUUUUGGUCCCUCACAUUACCCUCUGAGGUUUUAUGGAUUUUUAUUUUUUGGUUUUGAUUUAUUUAGGAUUCUGCUUGCUUUUGAUUGUUUCAUUUUAUUUUUUACAUGCAUAAAGAAAUGAUGGUUUUCAAACAUUCUACUGUAUCCAUAACAUCCAAAUCUCACA
Helianthus annuus (common sunflower) is the source of this 474-nucleotide long non-coding RNA. RefSeq lists it as uncharacterized. Lineage: Eukaryota; Viridiplantae; Streptophyta; Magnoliopsida; Asterales; Asteraceae. The transcript is spliced from 2 exons. The record is from RefSeq and is a predicted model, not a curated record.